CAGUCGAGCGGACAGAAGGGAGCUUGCUCCCGGACGUUAGCGGCGGACGGGUGAGUAACACGUGGGCAACCUGCCCCUUAGACUGGGAUAACUCCGGGAAACCGGAGCUAAUACCGGAUAAUCCCUUUCUCCACCUGGAGAGAGGGUGAAAGAUGGCUUCGGCUAUCACUAGGGGAUGGGCCCGCGGCGCAUUAGCUAGUUGGUAAGGUAACGGCUUACCAAGGCAACGAUGCGUAGCCGACCUGAGAGGGUGAUCGGCCACACUGGGACUGAGACACGGCCCAGACUCCUACGGGAGGCAGCAGUAGGGAAUCUUCCGCAAUGGACGAAAGUCUGACGGAGCAACGCCGCGUGAGUGAGGAAGGCCUUCGGGUCGUAAAGCUCUGUUGUGAGGGAAGAAGCGGUACCGUUCGAAUAGGGCGGUACCUUGACGGUACCUCACCAGAAAGCCACGGCUAACUACGUGCCAGCAGCCGCGGUAAUACGUAGGUGGCAAGCGUUGUCCGGAAUUAUUGGGCGUAAAGCGCGCGCAGGCGGCUUCUUAAGUCUGAUGUGAAAUCUCGGGGCUCAACCCCGAGCGGCCAUUGGAAACUGGGGAGCUUGAGUGCAGAAGAGGAGAGUGGAAUUCCACGUGUAGCGGUGAAAUGCGUAGAGAUGUGGAGGAACACCAGUGGCGAANGCGACUCUCUGGUCUGUAACUGACGCUGAGGCGCGAAAGCGUGGGGAGCAAACAGGAU
Molecule: ribosomal RNA, 737 nt
Filed under: bacterium C-TJ17
Lineage: Bacteria
Description: bacterial SSU rRNA
Rfam family: Bacterial small subunit ribosomal RNA
Source: RNAcentral